UAUGAACGCUGGCGGCGUGCCUAAUACAUGCAAGUCGAGCGAACAGACGAGGAGCUUGCUCCUCUGACGUUAGCGGCGGACGGGUGAGUAACACGUGGAUAACCUACCUAUAAGACUGGGAUAACUUCGGGAAACCGGAGCUAAUACCGGAUAAUAUAUUGAACCGCAUGGUUCAAUAGUGAAAGACGGUUUUGCUGUCACUUAUAGAUGGAUCCGCGCCGCAUUAGCUAGUUGGUAAGGUAACGGCUUACCAAGGCAACGAUGCGUAGCCGACCUGAGAGGGUGAUCGGCCACACUGGAACUGAGACACGGUCCAGACGCCUACGGGAGGCAGCAGUAGGGAAUCUUCCGCAAUGGGCGAAAGCCUGACGGAGCAACGCCGCGUGAGUGAUGAAGGUCUUCGGAUCGUAAAACUCUGUUAUUAGGGAAGAACAAAUGUGUAAGUAACGAUGCACGUCUUGACGGUACCUAAUCAGAAAGCCACGGCUAACUACGU
Molecule: ribosomal RNA, 496 nt
Filed under: uncultured bacterium
Lineage: Bacteria
Description: partial 16S ribosomal RNA
Rfam family: Bacterial small subunit ribosomal RNA
Source: RNAcentral